This 732-nucleotide small RNA is filed under the name Histoplasma ohiense. Its description in RNAcentral is "hypothetical lncRNA". The record is from RNAcentral. Lineage: Eukaryota; Fungi; Ascomycota; Eurotiomycetes; Onygenales; Ajellomycetaceae.
AAACGAACCUGAACCAUAUGGAAAGCAGCGUUUCGAGAUGGAACUGUUUUCAAGACUCAAAAAUGGUGCACCAAAAUCGACUCCACAGAGCAAGAACAGCCAGCAUACGCUAGCUCUACAGAAACGCACUGAUCUACCAUUUCCAGAAAAGAAUUUCCCGAGAUGACGACAAACAUUACUAAUAAUUGCCUUUUAAUUCCUGCAGUAUGUGGGAGGAAAUAUAAAAGUUGGCAGGGUGAAACAGAAUGAAAUGAGUAAGGAAAACAUGUUACCAAUUUGCCGGGAUUCACAAGAGCGAGAAAAAGUAUUCACCAAAACCAAAUUCUACCUAAUGUAAGGAGUUAACCCCAUCAGGAAUCCAAUGGACAAUACAGUUGCACAUGUAUGUGGAACAACCCUGUCCGCCGCAGGAGCCGCCAUAAAAUAUAUGGUCUAGGAAUACAAUGAUAUCUUUUUGUCUCUCGAUCAUUGAUGAUUAGGAAGGCCAGCGACGCAAGAAGCAGAGUUGGCCCUUGACGACUACUAGUAGUUGCCAUGUGUUGUCAGGAUGGACUGAGAACAGCAAUGAUGCGAUGAGAACAGGCACCUGUCGAUAGGACAAACUAGUAAUAUAAAUCGGACGUUCUAUAUAUACACAGUACAUUUCAAUAUAAAUCAUGAGGAAAUUCUCCUUUUAGCCUAGUGGCAAAAGUCCAAUUCUCCAACAAGAAGGGGCAUUAGUCCAAGAUGUGA